AGUAUGGGUAGAGGCCGAGAAGCCCGUCCCGUUUAAGAACGUGGCACCCUAUGAGGGACGAGGCAGAGCCAGUGGUGCGACCGGCUACCGACGCG
RNAcentral lists this non-coding RNA (95 nucleotides) under unclassified sequences. RNAcentral describes it as "c-di-GMP sequence". It matches the Rfam family "c-di-GMP-II-GAG riboswitch aptamer". The record is from Rfam by way of RNAcentral.